CCGAGGGUGGCGGGGCGGAGCCGCGCCGUGACAGGGCCGAGCCGGGAGGGUUUGUCGCGGAGCGCGGCCGGGGGAUCGCCUCAGCUUCCCCCGCAGCCCGGCUCCGCCUGAGGGCAGCUUUCCCGCGCUGGAAGCCCCUCCCGCCUCACCGCGGCGCUCCCCCGCCGCGCCUCAGGCGGCCCCGAGCCCUCCCGCCGCUGUCUGCGCCCGUGGUGCCGUGGCGGUGUUGUGGCAGCUUUGCAGCGGUGUGGUGGCGGUGCCACGGCAGCGUUGUGGCGGUGUGGGAGCGGUGUGGGAGCGGUGCCGCAGGCGCAGGGCGCGCAGCUCCGCGCUUUGUUCGGCACGAGGCCGGUGGGCGCGGGGUCCCACACGCAGGCGGGCGGGCGGGCCGCAGCCGGGCCGGGAGCCCUCAGCGCUGCUCUCCGGGGACUCUCGCAGCCCCUCGGCCAUCUGCGGUCAGCGCGGACAUCUGGCAGGCAGCUGCAGGAGGUGAAGGCGGUGGGUGGGUCGGAUCGGGGCCGGCGGGUCGGAGUGCGCGCAUCUCGGCGACGUGAGUGACUCAGACGAGCAGGGUUCAAAAGCGGCAGCUGGACGGGGUACGGCGGGAGCCGUUGUGAAGCGCGGAGACGUUCGGUGGGGCCGCGCACGGCCGUCCCUCGGUUACACGUCUGCGGUCAGCCGUACGAAGGACGCCGUCUGCAGCCCGCGGGUUCAGCUGCCCGUCACAAAGCUCCGCUUCCCGCGCAGCGCGGCUCUGCAGGUGCCCUCUGACCUCGGCUGCACAAGGAACGCACGCCUUCCUCCCUGCUUUCUCCUGCGGACAAACGUGCAGUCUUUCUCUUGUUAGAUUUCCAGCGUCUCAGCUCGGAGACGGUUGCUAAAAUAUAACAAAAUACAAACGAUUCCAUAUGUAUAUGGAUUGGGCGGGCUAUAUUUUGGAAUAAGAUCGGCCUUCGAAGUCAGCCUGCCUGUCUGUAGAUGUUUAUCUCAGCCUGAGGUACAACCUGUGCAGAGCAGAAGAUCCCUUCUUACUGUAUGCAGUAAAUGGUGCCCUUCGCUGGGCAAAGUAUUCACUACAAUCUUCCCUGACGAAAAGACCCGUGUAGCUUCCUUAUAUGAGGAGUGUCUAUUUUAAGAAUGUGGAACCGUUCAAACUGAGAAAAGGGUUCUAGUGAUCAUCCUUAGAAAGGUGAGGCUGUGCCUAUAUUCCCCUUUGGAAAUACAAGGCAGUUUGUCCAGUGGCUAGCACAGCAGAAGCUGGGGAGAUGAGUCUGGAUAUUGAUACUUCCAAUCUUGGCAAGCAGUAGCAAGCAUGACAAGUUAGAUUAAGAGCAGUUGGGAAGGAAAAACAGUUUUCCACAACUCUUUUAUACUGUAAAGCCUGGGAGGCUUUUAAACAAUGAUCCUUUAUCCUACCAUACAUUCCCUGGACGUCCUCUUUUGGGCACAAAAUGCUGAACUGCAUGGACUCUGGGAGGUCUCAGUACUGCCAUACUUAAAU
Molecule: long non-coding RNA, 1501 nt
Organism: Gallus gallus (chicken)
Lineage: Eukaryota; Metazoa; Chordata; Aves; Galliformes; Phasianidae
Source: Ensembl